Lemur catta (Ring-tailed lemur) is the source of this 197-nucleotide small nuclear RNA. RefSeq annotates it as U2 spliceosomal RNA. The record is from RefSeq and is a predicted model, not a curated record. The transcript has a single exon. Lineage: Eukaryota; Metazoa; Chordata; Mammalia; Primates; Lemuridae.
AUCACUUCUCGGCCUUUUGGCUAAGAUCAAGUGUAGUAUCCGUUCUUAUCAGUUUAAAAUAUCAAUGUCAUAUUUCACAGAUCUAGAAUAAAUACUUCUACACUUUGUUUGGAACCAGAAAAGAGCCAGAAUAGUCAAAGCAAUCUUAAGCAAAAAGAACAAAUCAGGAGGCAUUGCAUUACCAGAUUCCAAACUAU